This 153-nucleotide ribosomal RNA is filed under the name Enterobacter ludwigii. RNAcentral describes it as "partial 16S ribosomal RNA". It matches the Rfam family "Bacterial small subunit ribosomal RNA", at positions 337 to 485 of the family's 1533-position model. Lineage: Bacteria; Pseudomonadati; Pseudomonadota; Gammaproteobacteria; Enterobacterales; Enterobacteriaceae. The record is from RNAcentral.
UCCUACGGGAGGCAGCAGUGGGGAAUAUUGCACAAUGGGGGCAAGCCUGAUGCAGCCAUCCCGCGUGUAUGAAGAAGGCCUUCGGGUUGUAGAGUACUUUCAGCAGGAAAGGAAGGUCGAAGGUAAUUCCCCGCGCGACUGACGUACCGCAGA